RNAcentral lists this ribosomal RNA (253 nucleotides) under uncultured bacterium. Its description in RNAcentral is "partial 16S ribosomal RNA". It matches the Rfam family "Bacterial small subunit ribosomal RNA", at positions 524 to 776 of the family's 1533-position model. The record is from RNAcentral.
UACGGGGGGGGCAAGCGUUGUUCGGAAUUACUGGGCGUAAAGGGCGCGUAGGCGGUCUGCUAAGUUGGAUGUGAAAACUCUGGGCUUAACCCAGAGCCUGCAUCCAAAACUAGCGGGCUGGAGUUCUGGAGGGGAUAGCGGAAUUCCUGGUGUAGCGGUGAAAUGCGUAGAUAUCAGGAGGAACACCGGUGGCGAAGGCGGCUAUCUGGACAGAAACUGACGCUGAGGCGCGAAAGCUAGGGGAGCAAACAGG